GUUUGUUCCUGAAGGCACACUAAAACUGGAACGAUAAGGGGAAGAUUAGCAUUGCUCCUAUGCAAGCAUGGCAUGCAAAUUCUCGAACAGCUCCAAAAAUAU
Molecule: small nuclear RNA, 102 nt
Filed under: Oesophagostomum dentatum (nodular worm)
Lineage: Eukaryota; Metazoa; Nematoda; Chromadorea; Rhabditida; Strongylidae
Source: RNAcentral